Molecule: long non-coding RNA, 310 nt
Organism: Adelges cooleyi (spruce gall adelgid)
Lineage: Eukaryota; Metazoa; Arthropoda; Insecta; Hemiptera; Adelgidae
Exons: 3
Source: RefSeq, a predicted model, not a curated record
AUCCUUCACGAUCUUCAAAUAUUUAAAAAAGAAAUAUUAUUAUCUACUAUUAUGGUUUAUAAGAAAACCGAAAAAGACUUCUGGCCUUUCUACGUUUUUCUGUUACUGAAUUGAAUAGCAUAUUAGGUCUAUAUAUUUUUGUUUAGGUAUAUUCUUGACUCGUCUGGAUUCUUAUUAUUAAAAUAAUGUAGUUUUUAUGAAUGUUGCUCAACAAUUUUGUUUUUAUUCAAAUUAUUCUUGAAAAGUUUAUCACUAAUGACUUGUUAAAGAACGUUAGGGAUAGGUUUCCAUGCGAUUCUGAAGAUUCACU